CGAUGAAUAAGCAAGGUGGUCCUUUAAAUCACAGCUCUGGAAGUUUCUGCAAAAAUACCUCUUUGCACAAAAAAACAAAAAUUGGGUGAUCUUUAAGGUCCCUUUCAACACAAAUCAUUAUAUGAUUCUAAAUUUAAGAGAAAAUAUGAAGAAGCCCUGGAGCCCUGACUUACCAGCUGAUAACCACUUGUAUAAUUCAGAUUUCGCAUCCAUCCCAGGCAGAGAAAGUGAGAAAGAAUUAGCACCUGAUGGCACUGAAGAAAAGAAGGAGAGAGAAAAGAAACAGACCAAUUUCACUUUGUGCAGUGUUUGUAACAUUCAGCUGAACUCUGCUGCUCAGGCACAAAUCCACUACAAUGGCAAAUCCCAUCAGAAGAGGUUAAAACAGCUCAGCAAUGGAAAUCUCAAAAGUGAUAAUGGACACAUGAAUCUUCUGCUAUGCACAGGUUUCAACAUAUGGCUUUCCUCAGUAAUUCUGCAGAUGCUCCUAAGGUUUAGAAUUUAUUAUAUCUUCAUCUCUGGAGUUGAUAGCUUUCUUCUUCAUUUUUUUAAUUUUUGUUUUUAAUUGAUUACAGAGAAUCCAGCAA
This 587-nucleotide long non-coding RNA is filed under the name Anas platyrhynchos (mallard). RNAcentral describes it as "lncRNA (ENSAPLG00020015736.1)". Lineage: Eukaryota; Metazoa; Chordata; Aves; Anseriformes; Anatidae. The record is from RNAcentral.